RNAcentral lists this transfer RNA (75 nucleotides) under Candidatus Bathyarchaeota archaeon. RNAcentral's name for it is "tRNA-Thr". It matches the Rfam family "tRNA". From Rfam's summary of the family: Transfer RNA (tRNA) molecules are approximately 80 nucleotides in length. Their secondary structure includes four short double-helical elements and three loops (D, anti-codon, and T loops). Lineage: Archaea; Thermoproteati; Candidatus Bathyarchaeota. The record is from RNAcentral.
GCCCCGGUAGCUCAGUGGUGGAGCAAUUGCCUUGUAAGCAAUAGGUCGUGGGUUCGAAACCCGCCCGGGGCUCCA